GAUGAACGCUAGCGACAGGCUUAACACAUGCAAGUCGAGGGGCAGCAUAAAAGUAGCAAUACUUUGGUGGCGACCGGCGCACGGGUGAGUAACGCGUAUGCAACCUACCUAUCAGAGGGGAAUAACCCGGCGAAAGUCGGACUAAUACCGCAUAAAACAGGGGCACCGCAUGGUGAUAUUUGUUAAAGAAAUUCGCUGAUAGAUGGGCAUGCGUUCCAUUAGGUAGUUGGUGAGGUAACGGCUCACCAAGCCGACGAUGGAUAGGGGAACUGAGGGGUUGGUCCCCCACACUGUUACUGAGACACGGACCAGACUACUGCGGGAGGAAGCAGUGAAGAAUAUUGGUCAAUGGGCGAGAGCCUGAACCAGCCAAGUCGCGUGAAGGAAGAAGGAUCUAUGGUUCGUAAACUUCUUUUGCAGGAGAAUAAAGUGCGGGACGUGUCCUGUUUUGUAUGUACCCUGAGAAUAAGGAUCGGCUAACUCCGUGCCAGCCGCCGCAGUAA
Molecule: ribosomal RNA, 503 nt
Filed under: uncultured bacterium
Lineage: Bacteria
Description: partial 16S ribosomal RNA
Rfam family: Bacterial small subunit ribosomal RNA
Source: RNAcentral